AGGGAGGGAGGAAAGAGAUGGCUGGAAGUCAAGAGGGAGAGGAUCUCCUUGUAAGGAUGCCAGGCAAGAGCCUUGUUGACUUAGCAGGUGACACUCUGGGGAAGUGGGGGAGGAGGGUGCGGGUGUCACACCCCUCUGAGCUUGAUUCCCAUUGGCUCUCGAGAUCCUUAAAAGGGUCCUGCAGUCUCAGCAGCGGCAUUCUCGGACCCUCAGAGGAUUCUGUGGUUACAGUCUCUCCUCAACCCAAGGCAUGAGACGCAUGACUCUCCUCCUCUUGGCAGCUCUGGUCGGGACCCUGGUCUCUGCCCAAAAUGCUUCCUCUGCUCUUCCCGAGGAACCCUUCAUCACCCCAGCAACCCAGAAGAUUUCGACAGCACCUCCCAGCUCAGGAUUCAACCCACUGCAACUCGGGUUAGAUAAAGGUCUCUCGGUAGCCCAAGGAGUAAGAAGAAAAAUACAAGAAAAACUUGAAGAAGGAAAGAAAUUCUUCGAAGAGGGGACUGAACUGGCACAAAGCCUAAGGAAAAAAUUCAUUCCAGUAACAUUGUUUCCUCGUUUUUUGAGAAGCUGAAGAAAUUGAGUCUCUGGACUUAACACCUUAAACAUACUUGUAGCCCAUAGCAAUUAAAGUGAAAGCAUCCAACUUGCCCUUGCCAGUGCUCUGUGGGGUGGGCCCUAGGGCAGAGGGGGAGCAAAGCCCGACGUGACCCAAGCUCCCAGUCCGUCUCCGCCUGCCUUGGGGACACAGCCUGUGAUGAGCCCCUUCAUCCCCCCUGAGCCAGAGUUACAC
This 790-nucleotide long non-coding RNA is filed under the name Capra hircus (goat). RNAcentral's name for it is "lncRNA (ENSCHIG00000001475.1)". Lineage: Eukaryota; Metazoa; Chordata; Mammalia; Artiodactyla; Bovidae. The record is from RNAcentral.